This 191-nucleotide ribosomal RNA is filed under the name Aquibacillus koreensis. RNAcentral's name for it is "partial 16S ribosomal RNA". It matches the Rfam family "Bacterial small subunit ribosomal RNA", at positions 1332 to 1521 of the family's 1533-position model. The record is from RNAcentral. Lineage: Bacteria; Bacillati; Bacillota; Bacilli; Caryophanales; Bacillaceae.
UCGCUAGUAAUCGCGGAUCAGCAUGCCGCGGUGAAUACGUUCCCGGGCCUUGUACACACCGCCCGUCACACCACGAGAGUUGACAACACCCGAAGUCGGUGAGGUAACCUUUUAGGAGCCAGCCGCCGAAGGUGGGGUCAAUGAUUGGGGUGAAGUCGUAACAAGGUAGCCGUAUCGGAAGGUGCGGCUGG